RNAcentral lists this ribosomal RNA (222 nucleotides) under Escherichia coli. Its description in RNAcentral is "partial 23S ribosomal RNA". It matches the Rfam family "Bacterial large subunit ribosomal RNA", at positions 1124 to 1345 of the family's 2925-position model. The record is from RNAcentral. Lineage: Bacteria; Pseudomonadati; Pseudomonadota; Gammaproteobacteria; Enterobacterales; Enterobacteriaceae.
UAAAGAAAGCGUAAUAGCUCACUGGUCGAGUCGGCCUGCGCGGAAGAUGUAACGGGGCUAAACCAUGCACCGAAGCUGCGGCAGCGACACUGUGUGUUGUUGGGUAGGGGAGCGUUCUGUAAGCCUGCGAAGGUGUACUGUGAGGUAUGCUGGAGGUAUCAGAAGUGCGAAUGCUGACAUAAGUAACGAUAAAGCGGGUGAAAAGCCCGCUCGCCGGAAGAC